CAUAAUCCCCUUAUCCAGGACACCAAUUCCCCCCAUUUCUGGAUGUACCCCUAAACUUAGGGGUACCACUUUAAAUUAUACAUCCCCUGGUAGCCCUGAUCUGGGUGAACAACAUAUCCAAAAAUCACCCAGAUCAGACCAGGGGUUCGGGAAAUUCAUGGAGGGAAUAAAAUGACCGACCGCACUGGAGAGAACAGCCGAAUGGGGUUCCAUGCGAUGGGGCUCUGCGGUCAGUCCUGGAGUCAGGG
Molecule: long non-coding RNA, 248 nt
Filed under: Pelobates cultripes (western spadefoot toad)
Lineage: Eukaryota; Metazoa; Chordata; Amphibia; Anura; Pelobatidae
Source: RNAcentral